RNAcentral lists this transfer RNA (75 nucleotides) under Desulfobulbus propionicus. Its description in RNAcentral is "tRNA-Gln". It matches the Rfam family "tRNA". From Rfam's summary of the family: Transfer RNA (tRNA) molecules are approximately 80 nucleotides in length. Their secondary structure includes four short double-helical elements and three loops (D, anti-codon, and T loops). RNAcentral also lists the same sequence under 27 other names. Lineage: Bacteria; Pseudomonadati; Thermodesulfobacteriota; Desulfobulbia; Desulfobulbales; Desulfobulbaceae. The record is from RNAcentral.
UGGGGCGUCGUCAAGCGGUAAGACACAAGGUUUUGAUCCUUGCAUUCGGGGGUUCGAAUCCCUCCGCCCCAGCCA